UUUUUUCUUCUGAUGUCUUCUAACCAUUUAUCUCAUCUUGAAAUGAUUUUGCAUUUGGUGGAGGUUUUCCCUCUGGUGAACCUUGGUAUUGGCAAAUUGAGAAUAUUGGAUUUCAGUUCUAAACUGGCAUCAUGACUGAAUGCUCUACUGCAGUGUCUUCAAUAAACCAUUGCUGUCAAGAAUGAUGGACAAAUACAGGGGAUUGCUCUAGUGAGACAAAAACGUGUGCAGAGCAAUUUGUUCACCACAGGCACAUUUCUUGUGGGAGAUCAAAGGGAUCGCUGAUUCCAGCAGUUGUUUAAUUUGUGCCCCUGUAACUCGGUAUGGAUUGUUUUAAGUAACUAAACACAUUAGUAACUCCCAUGGAAAUAAAAAAAAAAGACUAGCACAACUAAUUUACUUACAUAUCAAAAGAUGAAUUCAGCAAACGUAAAACUUCACAACAGUGUUUCUAUGUAAACAAAAAUGUCAAGAGUUAUAGGGUAAAAGUUCUUUAUACUCUCUGUAACAGACAAGUAAAAAGACAUUUCUGACUGUAUGGAAAAAUGUAUUUGAAUUCAAAAUUUUGAAAUGUUAA
Molecule: long non-coding RNA, 577 nt
Organism: Corapipo altera (White-ruffed manakin)
Lineage: Eukaryota; Metazoa; Chordata; Aves; Passeriformes; Pipridae
Exons: 2
Source: RefSeq, a predicted model, not a curated record